UAUUAAAUUGUUCCAACAACCAAUGUCUAUCGAAUUCAGAUGAAAUAUGUUCGAAAUUUUGAUCAGUUAAGAAACUUAAUGCAUAUAUUUAACAGGGUCUGGUGAAAACAUAAGUUUAAAAAGUAGUGGAAUCGACUGUAAUAAUAUGGUAGAUCAAUGUUACUAUAGACCUAGUAAUAUGGCUGGAUAUUUGAAAAGUGUUCAAAGUUUUAGCUCAUAAUAGUAGAUUUAAAGGUUGUCAAUUUUUAUUUGAAAAUGUUUUAAUAAGCUAGUAAAAUUGUAUCUCGUAACUCAAGUUUCAACUAUUAGAGUAGAACUGCAGUUAUAGAAAACUAAACUUUCAAGAAUUGAAAAUAUUCCUAAAACUGAACUCGAUGCAAUAAAAUAAUGCAUUUAUGAAAUAUUUCCUAAUUUGUAUAGUUUAUUACAAGUAUUAUGUACACUACCAGUAUAUUAAAAUCAUAUCUAAGAAAUGAUUUAAUUAUUUGGUUUUGACUCUAAUGGCCAUUCAACGUAAUAUAAUUGUCAUGAUAGAAGAAAUUAUGGAGUUGGUAAAAAUAAGAUGAUACAAUUAAUAUAAGA
Long non-coding RNA from Daktulosphaira vitifoliae (grape phylloxera), 582 nucleotides. RefSeq lists it as uncharacterized. The transcript is spliced from 4 exons. The record is from RefSeq and is a predicted model, not a curated record. Lineage: Eukaryota; Metazoa; Arthropoda; Insecta; Hemiptera; Phylloxeridae.